UGGGGAAUUUUGGACAAUGGGCGAAAGCCUGAUCCAGCAAUGCCGCGUGUGUGAAGAAGGCCUUCGGGUUGUAAAGCACUUUUGUCCGGAAAGAAAUCCUUGGCUCUAAUACAGUCGGGGGAUGACGGUACCGGAAGAAUAAGCACCGGCUAACUACGUGCCAGCAGCCGCGGUAAUACGUAGGGUGCAAGCGUUAAUCGGAAUUACUGGGCGUAAAGCGUGCGCAGGCGGUUUGCUAAGACCGAUGUGAAAUCCCCGGGCUCAACCUGGGAACUGCAUUGGUGACUGGCAGGCUAGAGUAUGGCAGAGGGGGGUAGAAUUCCACGUGUAGCAGUGAAAUGCGUAGAGAUGUGGAGGAAUACCGAUGGCGAAGGCAGCCCCCUGGGCCAAUACUGACGCUCAUGCACGAAAGCGUGGGGAGCAAAACAGGAUUAGAUACCCUGGUAGUCCACGCCCUAAACGAUGUCAACUAGUUGUUGGGGAUUCAUUUCCUUAGUAACGUAGCUAACGCGUGAAGUUGACCGCCUGGGGGAGUACGGUCGCAAGAUUAAAACUUAAAGGAAUUGACGGGGUCAUAGCUG
This 581-nucleotide ribosomal RNA is filed under the name uncultured bacterium. RNAcentral's name for it is "partial 16S ribosomal RNA". It matches the Rfam family "Bacterial small subunit ribosomal RNA", at positions 355 to 932 of the family's 1533-position model. The record is from RNAcentral.